UGGAACAACCACAAUGUCUUGCUUUCUCAGCAAUGAAUAACUGCUUGGAGAACCUCGUCUCCUCCUUCCUCUUCUCCACACUGCUCAACUGGGCUCCAGCUUAGACUUCUACCUGAUGCUCAGGUCUCCAAUUUCUUCCUGCUAAAAAUAACAGGUAUGAGACUCACAGUCUGGGAGUGGGGAGGAUCCAACCCCCUUCUGAGAAGCUUCUCUCUUCUCUGAGCUUACUCAAGCUGUUCCCUUCAAAUAAACCCCAGGCUGGAACGCCUUCUCCGCUUCUUUACUCAAGAGAGGAGGCUCCCAAGGGAAUAUGAGUUGCUUUGGGAGUGGUCUUUCUUUCUGAUAAUCUCAAUAAACCAUCCUCCAACUAUCCCUAAGUCUGUUUGGCCUGGAGUAAUAUCCUCAAUCAGCUUUGGACUAGGAGCCCCGGUCUUGACACCAUGGCUGUCUGAUUUGACCUUACUUAUUGUUCCUAAUAAAUGCAUUGUGCCUUAUCCCUUGUAUGGGAGGCUUCCACAUGUUUAUGAAUGUGUUUUUUAAACUCUGAAACACCCUUAAAUCCAAG
This 565-nucleotide long non-coding RNA is filed under the name Homo sapiens (human). Its description in RNAcentral is "HSALNT0131066". Lineage: Eukaryota; Metazoa; Chordata; Mammalia; Primates; Hominidae. The record is from RNAcentral.